RNAcentral lists this ribosomal RNA (151 nucleotides) under Symbiodinium sp. Sakura4b. RNAcentral describes it as "partial 18S ribosomal RNA". It matches the Rfam family "Eukaryotic small subunit ribosomal RNA", at positions 1680 to 1831 of the family's 1831-position model. Lineage: Eukaryota; Dinophyceae; Suessiales; Symbiodiniaceae. The record is from RNAcentral.
GGCCGCGAAUUCGCCCUUCCGGUGAAUUAUUCGGACUGACGCAGUGCUCAGCUUCUGGACGUUGCGUCGGAAAGUUUCAUGAACCUUAUCACUUAGAGGAAGGAGAAGUCGUAACAAGGUUUCCGUAGGUGAACCUGCGGAAGGAUCAUUC